Molecule: ribosomal RNA, 502 nt
Filed under: uncultured bacterium
Lineage: Bacteria
Description: partial 16S ribosomal RNA
Rfam family: Bacterial small subunit ribosomal RNA
Source: RNAcentral
AUUGAACGCCGGCGGCAUGCCUUACACAUGCAAGUCGAACGGCAGCACGGGUGCUUGCACCUGGUGGCGAGUGGCGAACGGGUGAGUAAUACAUCGGAACGUACCUUAUCGUGGGGGAUAACGCAGCGAAAGCUGUGCUAAUACCGCAUACGCCCUGAGGGGGAAAGCGGGGGAUCGCAAGACCUCGCGCGAUUAGAGCGGCCGAUGCCUGAUUAGCUUGUUGGUGGGGUAAAAGCCCACCAAGGCGACGAUCAGUAGCUGGUCUGAGAGGACGAUCAGCCACACUGGGACUGAGACACGGCCCAGACUCCUACGGGAGGCAGCAGUGGGGAAUUUUGGACAAUGGGGGCAACCCUGAUCCAGCAAUGCCGCGUGAGUGAAGAAGGCCUUCGGGUUGUAAAGCUCUUUUGUCAGGGAAGAAAUCGUUUGGGUUAAUACCCCGGGCAGUUGACGGUACCUGAAGAAUAAGCACCGGCUAACUACGUGCCAGCCGCCGCCGUAA